UACGUAGGUGGCAAGCGUUGUCCGGAAUUAUUGGGCGUAAAGCGCGCGCAGGCGGUCCUUUAAGUCUGAUGUGAAAGCCCACGGCUCAACCGUGGAAGGUCAUUGGAAACUGGGGGACUUGAGUGCAGAAGAGGAAAGCGGAAUUCCAAGUGUAGCGGUGAAAUGCGUAGAGAUUUGGAGGAACACCAGUGGCGAAGGCGGCUUUCUGGUCUAUAACUGACGCUGAGGCGCGAAAGCGUGGGGAGCAAACAGG
This 253-nucleotide ribosomal RNA is filed under the name uncultured bacterium. RNAcentral describes it as "partial 16S ribosomal RNA". It matches the Rfam family "Bacterial small subunit ribosomal RNA", at positions 524 to 776 of the family's 1533-position model. The record is from RNAcentral.